Molecule: long non-coding RNA, 514 nt
Filed under: Nicotiana benthamiana
Lineage: Eukaryota; Viridiplantae; Streptophyta; Magnoliopsida; Solanales; Solanaceae
Description: long non-coding RNA (NBEN_LNC034036)
Source: RNAcentral
CAUAUGGCAAUGCACAAACCACGAACCCUCGUGGGAAAGAUUUCCGCGCAGAGGAUAUUUGGGAUCGGUCCAUAGCCAGUUACAAAGAAGCAAAAGUAGAGAAUCACGCAAACAGUAGAAACUACAGCAUGAGCUACACUCCCGAGGUUGACAGUGUUACCGAUGACCAGCAAGAUGAGGGAUAGUAUGAGAACUGGUAUAGUGUACAAAAGAAGUGUCCUGCAGUUCAUCACUUGUACUGCAUGAGCUACACUCCCGAGGUUGACAGUGUUACCGAUGACCAGUAAGAUGAGGGAUAGUAUGAGAACUGGGAUAGUGUACAGAAGAAGUGUCCUGCAGUUCAUCAUUUAAUGACACAUUAAAAACCAUAAAAGAAAAAAUAGAAUGAUGAAGAGUUUGUAUUUCUACUAUAAUCCAGUACAUAUGAGCCACCAAAGCAUUUAAUUUAGAAUAAUGAGAUAUUGGAACCAGCUGAGCGAAGAGCGCCAAUGCAAAAACUGACAAAAGCCUUGAG